UUCCUGAUCAACGCUAAUCGGAUCAGGGUAAGUCGGGUCCUAAGGCUCAGCCGAACGGCGAGGCCGAUGGCAGAACCGGUUAAUAUUCCGGUACUACCUGUGGGAGUGACGUGGAGACGGAGUCGUGACAGCGCCGCGGACUGACGGAAUAGUCCGUUGAAGGGUGUAGAUGCUGAUUGUUCCAGGCAAAUCCGGAGCAAGAGUCGAACCUGAUAGUAUGGAGCGUUCUUAGAACAAUCCAAUAGUGCGUGUAAUCAUACUUCCAAGAAAAUCCGCUAAACUUAAUCCUGCAGGUACCCGUACCGCAAACGGACACACGUAGUCGGGUUGAAUAUACUAAGGCGCUUGAGUGAUUCACGGUUAAGGAACUAGGCAAACUGACCCUGUAACUUCGGGAUAAAGGGUCCUCGCUUAACGGCGAGGCGCAGAGAAUAGGUCCAGGCAACUGUUUAACAAAAACACAGGGCUGUGCAAAAUUGAAAGAUGAAGUAUACAGCCUGACACCUGCCCGGUGCUGGAAGGUUAAGAGGAGAUGUCAUCGCAAGAGAAGCAUUGAAUUGAAGCCCCAGUAAACGGCGGCCGUAACUAUAACGGUCCUAAGGUAGCGAAAUUCCUUGUCGGGUAAGUUCCGACCUGCACGAAUGGUGUAAUGAUCUGGACGCUGUCUCAACCGUGAGCUCAGUGAAAUUGUAGUAUCGGUGAAGAUGCCGAUUACCCGCGAUGGGACGAAAAGACCCCGUGAACCUUUACUAUAGCUUAACAUUGAAUUUGGGUAAUUGAUGUGUAGGAUAGGCCGGAGACUUUGAAGCGCAGACGCCAGUUUGUGUGGAGUCGCUGUUGAAAUACGGCCCUUUGAUUAUUUGAGUUCUAACCCGUUGUUACGGGGACACUGUUUGGUGGGUAGUUUGACUGGGGUGGUCGCCUCCAAAAGUGUAACGGAGGCUUCUAAAGGUGCCCUCAGGACGAUUGGUAACCGUCCGUAGAGUGUAAUGGCAUAAGGGCGCUUGACUGGGAGACAUACAAGUCGAUCAGGUAGGAAACUAGAGCAUAGUGAUCCGGUGUUUCCGCAUGGAAGGGACAUCGCUCAAAGGAUAAAAGGUACUCCGGGGAUAACAGGCUGAUC
Molecule: ribosomal RNA, 1123 nt
Filed under: human gut metagenome
Description: bacterial LSU rRNA
Rfam family: Bacterial large subunit ribosomal RNA
Source: RNAcentral